Long non-coding RNA from Lemur catta (Ring-tailed lemur), 517 nucleotides. RefSeq lists it as uncharacterized. The transcript is spliced from 3 exons. Lineage: Eukaryota; Metazoa; Chordata; Mammalia; Primates; Lemuridae. The record is from RefSeq and is a predicted model, not a curated record.
UGUUUAGUCAAAAGAUAAUCCUUUUUCUUCUCCCAGUCAAUUUUUUUUCUUUGAUCUAAAGAACUUGCUUUUCUCUGAAGUCGUUCACAAUAUGGCAUGACAGAGGAGCACAGAGUGCCAGAGGCAGGAAACUACUAUGUUUCACUAGUGCUCAUAAGAAAACUUAAUAGAGGGUCUCUAGAGUUCACUGGCCCUACAGUACCUGAUUGAUGGAGUCCCAAAGUUAAGUAGGCUAACCUUUAUUGAACCAAACACUUCAGAAGUAUGGGAGGAAGUAUGAGGGAAGGAGUCUUCAUAUUCUGGCAAUGAGGAAAACGAACAUUAACAAUGCAAGACACGGUGAGAGUCACAGAUCCAUGGAUGGACGAUCCUUUUGAGGACAAUAGAGAGAGAAUUUGUAUAAGUUUCUUGAGUGAGAAAACUUCCAGAUGGCAGGCCCGAAAGUCAGUUGUUCCUGCUCAAAACACAGAGCUUCCUCAAGAGGAAGAUAACACUUUCUUUCAUCAGAGGAAGUGAG